This 1310-nucleotide ribosomal RNA is filed under the name uncultured bacterium. RNAcentral describes it as "bacterial SSU rRNA". It matches the Rfam family "Bacterial small subunit ribosomal RNA", at positions 97 to 1401 of the family's 1533-position model. The record is from RNAcentral.
GGCGAACGGGUGAGUAACACGUAGGGAACCUGCCCGCGCACCGGGAAUACGCUCUGGAAACGGAGAACAAAUCCCGAUGUACAGGAAGGAGGCAUCUUCUUCCUGUGAAACAUCCUCUAGGGGAUGGGGCGCGGAUGGACCUGCGGUGCAUUAGUUUGUUGGCGGGGUAACGGCCCACCGAGGCGACGAUGCGUAGGGGUUCUGAGAGGAAGGUCCCCCACACUGGUACUGAGACACGGACCAGACUCCUACGGGAGGCAGCAGUGAGGAAUAUUGGUCAAUGGGCGCGAGCCUGAACCAGCCAAGUCGCGUGAGGGAUGACGGUCCUACGGAUUGUAAACCUCUUUUGCCGGGGAGCAAGCGUGCGUUCGUGAACGCGCGUCGAGAGUACCCGGAGAAAAAGCAUCGGCUAACUCCGUGCCAGCAGCCGCGGUAAUACGGAGGAUGCGAGCGUUAUCCGGAUUUAUUGGGUUUAAAGGGUGCGUAGGCGGGAUGCCAAGUCAGCGGUAAAAAAGCGGUGCUCAACGCCGUCGAGCCGUUGAAACUGGCGUUCUUGAGUGGGCGAGAAGUAUGCGGAAUGCGUGGUGUAGCGGUGAAAUGCAUAGAUAUCACGCAGAACUCCGAUUGCGAAGGCAGCAUACCGGCGCCCUACUGACGCUGAGGCACGAAAGCGUGGGUAUCGAACAGGAUUAGAUACCCUGGUAGUCCACGCAGUAAACGAUGAAUGCUAACUGUCCGGUGCGAGUGAGCGCUGGGCGGUACAGCGAAAGCGUUAAGCAUUCCACCUGGGGAGUACGCCGGCAACGGUGAAACUCAAAGGAAUUGACGGGGGCCCGCACAAGCGGAGGAACAUGUGGUUUAAUUCGAUGAUACGCGAGGAACCUUACCCGGGCUCAAACGCAGGCUGACGGGUCCCGAAAGGGGCCUUUCUUCGGACAUUCUGCGAGGUGCUGCAUGGUUGUCGUCAGCUCGUGCCGUGAGGUGUCGGCUAAGUGCCAUAACGAGCGCAACCCCUGCCCACAGUUGCCAGCAGGUAAAGCUGGGGACUCUGUGGAGACUGCCGGCGCAAGCUGCGAGGAAGGCGGGGAUGACGUCAAAUCAGCACGGCCCUUACGUCCGGGGCGACACACGUGUUACAAUGGCAGGUACAGCGGGAUGCCACGGGGCGACCCGGCGCUGAACCCGAAAACCUGUCUCAGUUCGGAUUGGAGUCUGCAACCCGACUCCAUGAAGCUGGAUUCGCUAGUAAUCGCGCAUCAGCCACGGCGCGGUGAAUACGUUCCCGGGCCUUGUACACACCGCCCGUCAAG